CCUACGGGAGGCAGCAGUGAGGAAUAUUGGUCAAUGGACGAAAGUCUGAACCAGCCAUGCCGCGUGAAGGAAGACGGCUUUCUGAGUGGUAAACUGUUUUUGUACAAGGGAAAACCUGAAUACGUGUAUUCUGCUGAAUGUACUGUACGUACAAGGAUCGGCUAACUCCGCGCCAGCAGCCGCGGUAAUACGGAGGAUCCGAGCGUUAUCCGGAUUUAUUGGGUUUAAAGGGUGCGUAGGCGGGUCGAUAAGUUAGAGGUGAAAUCUACGGGCUCAACUCGGGAACUGCCUUUAAUACUGUUGAGCUAGAGAGUAGAAGCGGUAGGCGGAAUGUAUGGUGUAGCGGUGAAAUGCUUAGAGAUC
RNAcentral lists this ribosomal RNA (363 nucleotides) under uncultured bacterium. Its description in RNAcentral is "partial 16S ribosomal RNA". It matches the Rfam family "Bacterial small subunit ribosomal RNA", at positions 338 to 698 of the family's 1533-position model. The record is from RNAcentral.